AACGAACGCUGGCGGCAUGCCUAACACAUGCAAGUCGAACGAGACCUUCGGGUCUAGUGGCGCACGGGUGCGUAACGCGUGGGAACCUGCCCUUAGGUUCGGAAUAACUCCCCGAAAGGGGUGCUAAUACCGGUUAAUGUCUUCGGACCAAAGAUUUAUCGCCUUUGGAUGGGCCCGCGUUGGAUUAGCUAGUUGGUAGGGUAAAAGCCUACCAAGGCGACGAUCCAUAGCUGGUCUGAGAGGAUGAUCAGCCACACUGGGACUGAGACACGGCCCAGACUCCUACGGGAGGCAGCAGUGGGGAAUAUUGGACAAUGGGCGAAAGCCUGAUCCAGCAAGGCCGCGUGAGUGAUGAAGGCCUUAGGGUUGUAAAGCUCUUUUACCCGGGAUGAUAAUGACAGUACCGGGAGAAUAAGCUCCGGCUAACUCCGUG
RNAcentral lists this ribosomal RNA (433 nucleotides) under uncultured bacterium. RNAcentral describes it as "partial 16S ribosomal RNA". It matches the Rfam family "Bacterial small subunit ribosomal RNA", at positions 29 to 507 of the family's 1533-position model. The record is from RNAcentral.